Molecule: long non-coding RNA, 202 nt
Filed under: Lathyrus oleraceus (garden pea)
Lineage: Eukaryota; Viridiplantae; Streptophyta; Magnoliopsida; Fabales; Fabaceae
Description: Pisum sativum (pea) long non-coding RNA (PSAT_LNC036964)
Source: RNAcentral
GAUAACCUAUAAAUAGGUAUAGGUAUAAAGAAAAGGAGUAAUUUUAAUGAUUGUUGUGUACAGUAAUUUUAUGAUGGCCACACGUGUGUCUCGACGUGGGAACACAAGUUGAACUCAGCACUUCAUAUGCUUUUAUUGACACAGUAACAUUCACAUUCAUUUCAAUUUUGUCAGGUUGCACGUGUUUUCAAACAGGUCCCCC